RNAcentral lists this ribosomal RNA (456 nucleotides) under Actinomyces sp. oral taxon 171. Its description in RNAcentral is "bacterial SSU rRNA". It matches the Rfam family "Bacterial small subunit ribosomal RNA", at positions 28 to 462 of the family's 1533-position model. Lineage: Bacteria; Bacillati; Actinomycetota; Actinomycetes; Actinomycetales; Actinomycetaceae. The record is from RNAcentral.
GACGAACGCUGGCGGCGUGCUUAACACAUGCAAGUCGAACGGUGAAGCGCUUUCCUUUUUGGUUGGUGUGGAUGAGUGGCGAACGGGUGAGUAACACGUGAGUAACCUGCCCCCUUCUUCUGGAUAACCGCAUGAAAGUGUGGCUAAUACGGGAUAUUCUGCGCCUGCUGCAUGGUGGGUGUGGGAAAGAUUGUGCCUUUGGGUGUUUUCGGUGGGGGAUGGGCUCGCGGCCUAUCAGCUUGUUGGUGGGGUGAUGGCCUACCAAGGCGGUGACGGGUAGCCGGCCUGAGAGGGUGGACGGUCACACUGGGACUGAGACACGGCCCAGACUCCUACGGGAGGCAGCAGUGGGGAAUAUUGCACAAUGGGCGCAAGCCUGAUGCAGCGACGCCGCGUGAGGGAUGGAGGCCUUCGGGUUGUGAACCUCUUUCGCCAGUGAAGCAGGCCUGCUCCUUG